RNAcentral lists this ribosomal RNA (433 nucleotides) under uncultured Adlercreutzia sp. Its description in RNAcentral is "partial 16S ribosomal RNA". It matches the Rfam family "Bacterial small subunit ribosomal RNA", at positions 341 to 792 of the family's 1533-position model. Lineage: Bacteria; Bacillati; Actinomycetota; Coriobacteriia; Eggerthellales; Eggerthellaceae. The record is from RNAcentral.
ACGGGAGGCAGCAGUGGGGAAUUUUGCGCAAUGGGGGGAACCCUGACGCAGCAACGCCGCGUGCGGGAUGGAGGCCUUCGGGUUGUAAACCGCUUUCAGCAGGGAAGACAACGACGGUACCUGCAGAAGAAGCUCCGGCUAACUACGUGCCAGCAGCCGCGGUAAUACGUAGGGGGCGAGCGUUAUCCGGAUUCAUUGGGCGUAAAGCGCGCGUAGGCGGCUGCCUAAGCGGAGUUUCUAACCUUGGGGCUCAACCUCAAGCCGGACUCCGAACUGGGCGGCUCGAGUGCGGUAGGGGCAGGCGGAAUUCCAAGUGUAGCGGUGAAAUGCGCAGAUAUUUGGAGGAACACCGAUGGCGAAGGCAGCCUGCUGGGCCGCCACUGACGCUGAGGCGCGAAAGCUGGGGGAGCGAACAGGAUUAGAUACCCUGGUA